GCCUGGGUGGCUCAGUCGGUUGAGCGGCUGACUUCAGCUCAGGUCAUGAUCUCAUGGUCUGUGGGUUCAAGCCCCGCAUCGGGCU
This 85-nucleotide transfer RNA is filed under the name Felis catus (domestic cat). It matches the Rfam family "tRNA". Rfam says of the family: Transfer RNA (tRNA) molecules are approximately 80 nucleotides in length. The record is from Rfam by way of RNAcentral. Lineage: Eukaryota; Metazoa; Chordata; Mammalia; Carnivora; Felidae.